Ornithodoros turicata is the source of this 2807-nucleotide long non-coding RNA. RefSeq lists it as uncharacterized. Lineage: Eukaryota; Metazoa; Arthropoda; Arachnida; Ixodida; Argasidae. The record is from RefSeq and is a predicted model, not a curated record. The transcript has 3 exons.
UCAUGCAGGACCCAUAAGUUCCUACAUUGAGGAUGCAGGAGUUACACGGGCCCUAUAUGUAGACCAUGCAGGAGUCAUACAGGGUCACAUACGGCCAUAUAGGAGUCAUCCUUUCUCGACCAGUUAAGUCCUUGAAACCCUGAAAUAAGUAAGAACGUGCAGGAACACAUAUCAGCCCUUCUAAAAUCAAUAUAAAAUUUUUACAUGUAAAAAAUUUAUAUUGAAUUUAGGAGGGUGAUAUGUGUUUCAUCAGUUAUUUUAAGCUGCGGCUUAAAAUAACUGAUGCUAGAUUCAUUUUUGGAACAUACAUACAAGUCUAUUAUUGAUCGACCAAACAUCAAACAUAAAAUGAUGCGUGCGUUCCAUGCACACAUUUGGCAUAUUACAGUACUUGGCGUUUUUGAACCGUCCAGUGGUUGUUGAACCCCAUCCAGAGAUACUGCUUUGUCGUUCGAUGGGUUUCCGGGUCUAAUAUCUCGGUCUGUAGCUGUCAUAUCGGGACGCGGUUUUUUGUGACGAAUUCCCGUUUCUUCCCCCUUCGUCUGCAUGCUCGUGGCUUGUGGGAAAUCCUGACAGUUGCCGAGAUAUUUGGAAAUUCAAGGCCCCCAUAGGUGCUUCCGACAUCUCCAAAGUCCCGUACCUCUCGCCCCGUUUGUCGGAUCGAGACCAAAAUUUAGGUCCGAACAGGUCUGGAAUAGCUCUACGAUCGCUCAAAUCACACUAGCAGCUGAUCUCUAGUGGUUUAGAAGUUGUACGAGGAGACGCGUUAGAAGCGCCGUUUUUUCGAACUUCGGGGCCCUUUUUCGGAAAUAAGCUCGCGUCGGACAUGAUGUAUCUUUCGAGAGCAUACUGCUAUCGACGCGGUGCACGUGGUAAAAUAUACCACACUUUUCCAACCCUAGCGGUUCUCGAGUUACAGGUUUCCGCGUUUACUGGCCUCCCGGUACAUGGGACCGACGACUUUUCUCCCCCCCAAAACGUUCCCCUUGCUACAACAUGGUCGUGUUUCCCUUCGUUGUGACAGUCUCGGUGUGCUCUUUCGAACAGCGUUGAUCCCGUAGACGAGCGACGUUCCGUUCUCGCGAUAUCGGCUUAAGAGUACGACGAGGCGACCAGUCCGGCUAGCGCAACUCUGAAACGCUUCCCACUAUUCGGAGUCUCAACUCGCAUACCCGACGUCCGGUUCAGUCGAAAUUGUGCAUGUGCUCUGUUCUCUGCUCUACAACUUUCUCAUUCAAACCACCCGUCCAUUUCCAGCGGUUAAGGCGUCAUUCUCGACAUUCCUGACACCGACCACCAUUUCCUGACUUCACGUCCCACGUUUUCAGGUUCCAAGCCCGCGGCGGAUGCGAAUUUCCUUUUAAUGGAUAAACGCGCUCGACAUAGGCAACGCGUACAAACUUGCGGCACCUUUCUAUCCCUCUCCGUUCCCGAGUUAGGACACCGUGGCAACGGCGGCCCUCUUAUACAUAGGACCGGGGGCAUUUUUCUCGAUAUCGGACUUUUGUUGGAGUAGAAAGGCGAUUGAGGUCUUUUUGACGGGGAAAGCGUCCGCUUUCCGAUAGUAUUAGGUAUUAGUCCCGUCUUCGCGCGACUUUCCGUUCUCUUGCCAUAGUGCGAGGAGCGCCUGAACAGCAUGCAUCUUCCUUCCCUUCCACCGCCGCCACCAGGCGGGGCUCUGGCGUCCAUUUCGCUUGUAAAGUUCGUUGAGGACGGACGCGUUUGUUCUCGCAUCCGGAUUUUCGCGUUUCGUUGUGGCUCUGGGCUAGAGCACUGCACGGGCCGACUUUUCCGGGCCCGACCCGGCCCGGGCGCAUCGAAAAAUGGCCCGGCCCGACCCGGGCCCGGACCAUCAUAUUUUUAUGCGGCCCGGCCCGGCCCGGCCCGGUGACCCAGUGACUAGAGCCCGGCCCGGCCCGGCGUCUAAGCAAAUAGAGCCCGGCCCGGCCCGGCCCGGUGACCCGGCGAGUAGAUCCCGGCCUAGUAUUUCCAGCCGCGACGUACGCGUUUCUGGCGAUUAUCAAACAAAUUUAUAAGUAAAUUUAUAAGGAGAGAAGACAAACAUACAAGUGAUGGCGGUUUAACACCGUAACCGCACGAGACCAAAUUAAAUCCAGAACGCACGGGGCGUUAUCGUUACACUGUCAAGAUUUUGCGGAGAUAGAGCAUGCUGUCAACAAACUGCUUCUCCCAGUCCCUAUCCCUCUCACCAAGCUUUGCCAAAGUGAUUGUGAAAUAUGUGAGGAGUGAGGAGCAAUGUAAAGUGGCUUGGAAAUGUUCUAGAGGGUCGAAUCAUAUGCAUAAUGCAGUACCCUUUGCUUGUCUUUGCAAAAUAUGCACAGGAAUGACGCAAGCGCAUGAUGAUAUGAACUAAUGCAUCUCCAAUGUGUGGAAUUAGCUGCGUGGCCCGGCCUGGCUCUCGGGAACAUAUUUGUCGGCCCGGGCCCGGCCCGGCCCGCGGUGGUGGCGUAUUUUAACGGCCCGGGCCCGGCCCGGCCCGCGGUGCUGGCGUAUUUUGUCGGCCCGGGCUCGGCCCGACCCGGAGCACACAGCCAAUAACAAGCCCAGCCCGGCCCGCGGGCCGGGUCGGGCCGGGUCGGGGGCCCGUGCAGUGCUCUACUCUGGGCUCCUCUGUUGCACCGAACUGCUGUGGAUGUGUUAUUCUGCUCUACAGGUGAUGCCUGGACGUGCUUUCUUGUGUGCGUGUUGGAAGAUACGUCCAGAAGCCCUUAGAUUUGGUGAAGUAAAGGUGCUUUUCACGGAUGGAUGUUCGUGAACGCAAAUGAGUCAGAUGAGGCAUAUGGCUC